RNAcentral lists this ribosomal RNA (492 nucleotides) under uncultured bacterium. RNAcentral's name for it is "partial 16S ribosomal RNA". It matches the Rfam family "Bacterial small subunit ribosomal RNA", at positions 29 to 507 of the family's 1533-position model. The record is from RNAcentral.
AGUGAACGCUGGCGGUAGGCCUAACACAUGCAAGUCGAACGGCAGCACAGUAAGAGCUCGCUCUUACGGGUGGCGAGUGGCGGACGGGUGAGGAAUACAUCGGAAUCUACUUUUUCGUGGGGGAUAACGUAGGGAAACUUACGCUAAUACCGCAUACGACCUACGGGUGAAAGCAGGGGAUCUUCGGACCUUGCGCGAUUGAAUGAGCCGAUGUCGGAUUAGCUAGUUGGCGGGGUAAAGGCCCACCAAGGCGACGAUCCGUAGCUGGUCUGAGAGGAUGAUCAGCCACACUGGAACUGAGACACGGUCCAGACUCCUACGGGAGGCAGCAGUGGGGAAUAUUGGACAAUGGGCGCAAGCCUGAUCCAGCCAGACCGCGUGGGUGAAGAAGGCCUUCGGGUUGUAAAGCCCUUUUGUUGGGAAAGAAAAGCAGCAGGUUAAUACCCCGCUGUUCUGACGGUACCCAAAGAAUAAGCACCGGCUAACUUCGUG